GUAGCAGGAUUAGGUGAGCUGUGAUUGACAGCUACUGUCACCUAUCAGGAAGGGGCAGUCCCUUUUUAAGCACUGAUUGGCUGCUGCUCGGAAUGCGUCAUGUCCUGUGUUUCCCCCGGGUGUUUGUAGCAAUAGCGACAGCAUGUUUGUCCAGCGUACUGGUGCCCUUGUGCUGUUGGUGGCUUAAAUGACUGUGCACCCUCAGUUGGCUGUGGUUGACCUGUUGUAGGUUAAACAGUGCUGUAAAAGACGUUAAUGUGUCUGGGGUGAUGCCACUGUGCGGGUUCUCCCUUUUGUUCUACGUGGUUUCCUCUGGUUGCUGCCUGUUUGAGUCUCGUGCUGUUUUAUCGCACCACUGUAACAUUACAUUAUUGUUACCGCUGUAAACCGGACUGUCCACUGUUUGGUUCCUGAACUUGAGUGUGUAAUAUCUUGAAGUGGAGGAUUAGCGCAUUGGAGCCGGCGUAUGGACUUUGGUGUUUGCGCCAUGACUUUCGUGUAGUUUCAGCUGCCAGUUUUCUUUGUUUGUUUGUUUUUGUUUUAUUGUAAAAUUUGUAUAUUAUUGUUUUGAAUAUGUAUUUUGCUUAAUAUACUUUCAGGAGCUGGGGUCCCCACGGGUGAGGGAUCUUGUGGGGGUGGUGGUGGUACCGCUCAACGGUUCCCGUGUUACACAUUUGAAGUGUAUAAGUGUGUGUACAUUGAGUUCACGGUGUGGUGUGCGAAAGUGUGCUUUUGGACAACUUGUGCCAGUGAUCCCUCGAGUGGGUAACCUCAGCUCUGUAGGUUUGUGUAUUAUUUUAAUUAGUUUAUUAUUUGUCUUCCUUUCCACGCACUGCAUUGUAGCAGUGAGGACCAUUAAACCUUCAAUUGUUUUGUAUUUUUGUGUAACUUUGUGAUUGUGAUGUUUUAUGUCAUUUGUUUUAUGUAUUUAUUGCAGUGAGACAGAUUUGUUUCACUAAUGUUGUCUUCUGUUUAUUUUACAUCUAGCUCAUUGACAUGAACACAGAAUAUUGUGGAAUAAAAAUUAUAUUUUUUUGUACUAUACCCACGUUUUCUGCUCCCUUCACUUUUAAGAGGAACGAACCUGUGUGCCUUACCGCCUUUCUGGGUGUAAGGAAUAUUUCCCUGAGUGUAAGUCCCAGGGUGGCGUAGUCGGAACUUUAUGCAAAGUCUUUCUUUCGUCACGAAGCUAAACUCGCACCCCCUCGUCAUGCCACAUUUGGCGUAGUGUCGGCAGGGUCCUCAAAUUUGGAGUGAAGAGACGUGGGUAUUGUUUUUAUGUAUGUGGGAUUUUGUUUAUGUCUUGUAGCAACCAGACAGCGGCAGUUUUCGCGUCGGAAUCCCAGCACAAUUUGUGGCUGGACUUGCGCGGUUUAAUCGGCUGCGGUCAGUGGUUCAUGGGUCUAGGAAUAGAGGACGAAUCGCACAGGUUAAGCAAUUUUACAGGCUCCGUAGAGGUAAAAUGUGUUAUUGGGUUAAGAACAAAAGGGAGAAUCUGAAUGUAUUGUUAAGUGGAGGGCCAGCUGGGUUUUUGGGCAAGGCUGUGAAAGUGGGGAUGUCGGGCAUGGCGUAUCAUUAAAGGCACCACUAAAACUGGUUGUCGUCAUUUGUUCUGUAUGAUCUGUACACUUCUAUAGUGCCUGAAGUUGGGGUAUUACUGAUGUAGUAUUUGCCUGUAACUUUGAUUUUAUGGUGGGGUUAGGAGGUACUAUCGGUCCCAUGUCAUUAGUUAUUGGAUGGUGUCCCUCUGAGUCUGAGGUGGAACCAUCCAGUAAGGUUUAUUGGUAGGAGAUGUACCCCCCAGGUGAGUCAUUUUCAGAUGGGGUCCCUCAGAGUUUGGGGUGAAACCAUCUAAUGAAUUUUAUAGUGCAGGAGCUGUAUCCCCCAGGUCAGUCAUUUUUCAGAUGGUGUCCCUCAGAGUUUGGGGUGAAACCAUCUGAGAUUUUUAUUUUAUCGGGAAGCUCUUGUUUUAGUUAUUUGUCAUUGGAGAUUACGUCAGGUUAGUUCUCCAAUUGAUACCACUUCUUGUAAUUGGCGGGCACAGCGGAUGUGUCUGCAGAGUGGAUUGUAGAUUCGUGCCUUUUCCCGACCUUGGGGCUGAGCACCCUGAGGUGGGUUUUGUUUAGUUCACCGUCGGGGCGACGUUGCAGAAACUUGGGGUGGAUUGUAGCAGGAUUAGGUGAGCUGUGAUUGACAGCUACUGUCACCUAUCAGGAAGGGGCAGUCCCUUUUUAAGCACUGAUUGGCUGCUGCUCGGAAUGCGUCAUGUCCUGUGUUUCCCCCGGGUGUUUGUAGCAAUAGCGACAGCAUGUUUGUCCAGCGUACUGGUGCCCUUGUGCUGUUGGUGGCUUAAAUGACUGUGCACCCUCAGUUGGCUGUGGUUGACCUGUUGUAGGUUAAACAGUGCUGUAAAAGACGUUAAUGUGUCUGGGGUGAUGCCACUGUGCGGGUUCUCCCUUUUGUUCUACGUGGUUUCCUCUGGUUGCUGCCUGUUUGAGUCUCGUGCUGUUUUAUCGCACCACUGUAACAUUACAUUAUUGUUACCGCUGUAAACCGGACUGUCCACUGUUUGGUUCCUGAACUUGAGUGUGUAAUAUCUUGAAGUGGAGGAUUAGCGCAUUGGAGCCGGCGUAUGGACUUUGGUGUUUGCGCCAUGACUUUCGUGUAGUUUCAGCUGCCAGUUUUCUUUGUUUGUUUGUUUUUGUUUUAUUGUAAAAUUUGUAUAUUAUUGUUUUGAAUAUGUAGUUUGCUUAAUAUACUUUCAGGAGCUGGGGUCCCCACGGGUGAGGGAUCUUGUGGUGGUGGUGGUGGUACCGCUCAACGGUUCCCGUGUUACACCUUUGAAGUGUAUAAGUGUGUGUACAUUGAGUUCACGGUGUGGUGUGCGAAAGUGUGCUUUUGGACAACUUGUGCCAGUGAUCCCUCGAGUGGGUAACCUCAGCUCUGUAGGUUUGUGUAUUGUUUUAAUUAGUUUAUUAUUUGUCUUCCUUUCCACGCACUGCAUUGUAGCAGUGAGGACCAUUAAACCUUCAAUUGUUUUGUAUUUUUGUGUAACUUUGUGAUUGUGAUGUUUUAUGUCAUUUGUUUUAUGUAUUUACUGCAGUGAGACAGAUUUGUUUUGAAUAAUGUUGUCUUCUGUUUAUUUUACACCUAGCUCAUUGACAUGAACAAAGAAUAUUGUGUAAUAAAAAUUUAUAUUUUUUGUACUAUACCCACGUUUUCUGCUCCCUUCACUUUUAAGAGGAACGAACCUGUGUGCCUUACCGCCUUUCUGGGUGUAAGGAAUAUUUCCCUGGGUGUAAGUCCCGGGGUGGCGUAGUCGGAAUUUUAUCUAAAAUCUUUGCUUUCGUCUUAAGCUAAAC
This is a non-coding RNA of Misgurnus anguillicaudatus (oriental weatherfish), 3362 nucleotides long. NCBI's taxonomy places the organism in Eukaryota, Metazoa, Chordata, Actinopteri, Cypriniformes, Cobitidae. The record is from RefSeq and is a predicted model, not a curated record.